UGCGUAGGUGGUUUCUUAAGUUAGAGGUGAAAGGCUACGGCUCAACCGUAGUAAGCCUUUGAAACUGGGAAACUUGAGUGCAGGAGAGGAGAGUGGAAUUCCUAGUGUAGCGGUGAAAUGCGUAGAUAUUAGGAGGAACACCAGUUGCGAAGGCGGCUCUCUGGACUGUAACUGACACUGAGGCACGAAAGCGUGGGGAGCAAACAAG
Molecule: ribosomal RNA, 208 nt
Filed under: uncultured bacterium
Lineage: Bacteria
Description: partial 16S ribosomal RNA
Rfam family: Bacterial small subunit ribosomal RNA
Source: RNAcentral